This 494-nucleotide ribosomal RNA is filed under the name uncultured bacterium. RNAcentral describes it as "partial 16S ribosomal RNA". It matches the Rfam family "Bacterial small subunit ribosomal RNA", at positions 355 to 866 of the family's 1533-position model. The record is from RNAcentral.
UGGGGAAUAUUGGACAAUGGGGGGCAACCCUGAUCCAGCCAUGCCGCGUGAGUGAUGAAGGCCUUCGGGUUGUAAAGCUCUUUUGGCGGGGACGAUGAUGACGGUACCCGCAGAAUAAGCCCCGGCUAACUUCGUGCCAGCAGCCGCGGUAAGACGAAGGGGGCUAGCGUUGUUCGGAAUUACUGGGCGUAAAGCGAGUGUAGGCGGUUGCCGUAGUCAGGUGUGAAAGCCUUGAGCUCAACUCAAGAAAUGCACUUGAUACUGGGUGACUAGAGGACCGGAGAGGAUAGUGGAAUUCCCAGUGUAGUGGUGAAAUACGUAGAGAUUGGGAAGAACACCAGUGGCGAAGGCGGCUAUCUGGACGGUUACUGACGCUAAGACUCGAAAGCGUGGGGAGCAAACAGGAUUAGAUACCCUGGUAGUCCACGCCGUAAACGAUGGGUGCUAGACGUUGGCGAGCUUGCUCGUCAGUGUCGCAGCUAACGCGUUAAGCA